UACAGAGGGUGCAAGCGUUAAUCGGAAUUACUGGGCGUAAAGCGUGCGUAGACGGUUAUUUAAGUCAGGUGUGAAAGCCCCGGGCUCAACCUGGGAAUUGCAUUUGAGACUGAAUAGCUAGGGUGCGGAAGAGGGAAGCGGAAUUUCCGGUGUAGCGGUGAAAUGCGUAGAUAUCGGAAGGAACACCAGUGGCGAAAGCGGCUUCCUGGUCCAGCACCGACGUUCAGGCACGAAAGCGUGGGGAUCAAACAGG
This 253-nucleotide ribosomal RNA is filed under the name uncultured bacterium. RNAcentral's name for it is "partial 16S ribosomal RNA". It matches the Rfam family "Bacterial small subunit ribosomal RNA", at positions 524 to 776 of the family's 1533-position model. The record is from RNAcentral.